UACGUAGGGUGCAAGCGUUAAUCGGAAUUACUGGGCGUAAAGCGUGCGCAGGCGGUUUUGUAAGGCAGAUGUGAAAUCCCCGGGCUUAACCUGGGAACUGCGUCUGAAACUACAAGGCUAGAGUGUGGCAGAGGGGGGUGGAAUUCCACGUGUAGCAGUGAAAUGCGUAGAGAUGUGGAGGAACACCGAUGGCGAAGGCAGCCCCCUGGGUUAACACUGACGCUCAGGCACGAAAGCGUGGGGAGCAAACAGG
This 253-nucleotide ribosomal RNA is filed under the name uncultured bacterium. RNAcentral's name for it is "partial 16S ribosomal RNA". It matches the Rfam family "Bacterial small subunit ribosomal RNA", at positions 524 to 776 of the family's 1533-position model. The record is from RNAcentral.